Molecule: ribosomal RNA, 1167 nt
Filed under: Photobacterium damselae subsp. damselae
Lineage: Bacteria; Pseudomonadati; Pseudomonadota; Gammaproteobacteria; Vibrionales; Vibrionaceae
Description: partial 23S ribosomal RNA
Rfam family: Bacterial large subunit ribosomal RNA
Source: RNAcentral
GUUGUAUGGUUAAGUGACUAAGCGUACACGGUGGAUGCCUGGGCAGUCAGAGGCGAUGAAGGACGUACUAACUUGCGAUAAGCGUAGAUGAGGCAGUAAGAGCCACUUGAGUCUACGAUUUCCGAAUGGGGAAACCCAGCUGCAUAAGCAGUUAUCUCAAUGUGAAUUCAUAGCAUUGUGAGGCGAACCGGGGGAACUGAAACAUCUAAGUACCCCGAGGAAGAGAAAUCAACCGAGAUUCCGGCAGUAGCGGCGAGCGAAACCGGAUUAGCCCUUAAGCUAAUCUUGCGUUAGGUGAACAUGCUGGAAAGCAUGGCAAUAAAGGGUGAUAGCCCCGUAACCAACAGCGCAUUUUCAGUGAAAUCGAGUAGGACGGGACACGUGUUAUCCUGUCUGAAUAUGGGGGGACCAUCCUCCAAGGCUAAAUACUCCUGACUGACCGAUAGUGAACCAGUACCGUGAGGGAAAGGCGAAAAGUACCCCUGUGAGGGGAGUGAAAUAGAACCUGAAACCGUGUACGUACAAGCAGUAGGAGCAGGCUUGUCCUGUGACUGCGUACCUUUUGUAUAAUGGGUCAGCGACUUAAUUUUAGUAGCAAGGUUAACCAUCUAGGGGAGCCGUAGGGAAACCGAGUCUUAACUGGGCGUCAUAGUUGCUAGGAUUAGACCCGAAACCGAGUGAUCUAGCCAUGGGCAGGUUGAAGAUUGAGUAACAUCAAUUGGAGGACCGAACCGACUAAUGUUGAAAAAUUAGCGGAUGACUUGUGGCUAGGGGUGAAAGGCCAAUCAAACUCGGAGAUAGCUGGUUCUCCCCGAAAGCUAUUUAGGUAGCGCCUCGGACGAAUACUACUGGGGGUAGAGCACUGUUAAGGCUAGGGGGUCAUCCCGACUUACCAACCCUUUGCAAACUCCGAAUACCAGUAAGUACUAUCCGGGAGACACACGGCGGGUGCUAACGUCCGUCGUGAAGAGGGAAACAACCCAGACCGCCAGCUAAGGUCCCAAAGUUAUAGCUAAGUGGGAAACGAUGUGGGAAGGCUCAGACAGCCAGGAUGUUGGCUUAGAAGCAGCCAUCAUUUAAAGAAAGCGUAAUAGCUCACUGGUCGAGUCGGCCUGCGCGGAAGAUUUAACGGGGCUAAGCUAUACACCGAAGCUGCGGCAAUGUGCU